Molecule: ribosomal RNA, 1547 nt
Filed under: Pseudomonas aeruginosa
Lineage: Bacteria; Pseudomonadati; Pseudomonadota; Gammaproteobacteria; Pseudomonadales; Pseudomonadaceae
Description: bacterial SSU rRNA
Rfam family: Bacterial small subunit ribosomal RNA
Source: RNAcentral
GCAUGGCUGCGCUAGAGAUGCUCCUGGCUCAGUAGAUCGUACAGGUCCCCUAAAGUUUGAUCCUGGCUCAGUAAUGCCUAAGAGUCUGCCUGGUUGUGGGAGAUAACGUCCGGAAACGGGCGCUAAUACCGCAUACUUCCUGAGGGAGAAAGUGGGGGAUCUUCGGACCUCCCUCUAUCAGAUGAGCCUAGGUCGGAUUAUCUAUUUGGUGGGGUAAAGGCCUCUACACACAUCGGCUGCACACGAAUGCCAUAGCUGGUUCCGAGAGUGAGGAUCCCUCACUUCACUGGAACCUGACAGCACGCUCCACGAUCCUCCUACGGGAGUGCACGCAGUGGGAAAUAUUGAACAAUGGGCAAAAGCCUGAUCCCAGCCAUGCCGCGUGCUGUGAAAGAAGGUCUUUCGGAUUGUUAAAGCAUACUUUAAGUCUGGGAGGAAGGGCAGUAAGUUAAUAUCCUUCGCUGGUUUUUGACGUUAGCCAACAAAAUAAAGCACCCGGCUAACUUCGUGCCAGCACCCGCGGGUAAUUACAAAGGGUGCAAGCGUUAAUCAAUAAUAUACUGGGGCGUUAAAGCGCCGCGCACGGUGGUUCAACAAAGUUCGGAUGGUGAAAUUCCCCGGGCUCCACGCUGGGAACUGCAUUCCAAAAUAGCUGAGGCUAGAGUACGGUAGGAGGGUGGUGGAAUUUUCCUGUGUAGCGGUGAAAUGCAUAGAUAUAGAGAAGGAACAACCAGGUGGCGAAGGCCACCACCUGCCACUGAUACUGACACUGCAGGUGCGAAAGCGUUGGGGAGCAAACAAGAUUAGAUACCCUGGUACUUCCACGCCGUAAACGAUGUCGAAUAGGCGGUGGGAUCCUUGAGAUCUUACUGGCGCAGCUAACGCGAUAAGUCGACCGGCCGGGGGAGGACGGCCGCAAGGUUAAAACUCAAAUGAAUUGACGGCCGGCCCGCACAAGCGGGUGGAGCAGGUGGUUUAAUUUCAAGCAACACAGAAGAACCUUACCCGGGCCUUGACAUGCCGCAGAACAUUCCAUGAGAUGGAGUGGUUGCCUUCGGGACACAUCAGACACAGGUGCUGCAGUGGCGUGCUCGUCAGCUCGCGUCGUGAGAUGGUGGGUUAUUAGUCCCGCAACGAGCGCAACCCCUGUCCCUUGUUCAUAUUACCAGCCACUCGGAGAUGGGCACUCUUCAACGAGACCGGCCGAGUGACAAACCGGAGGAAGGUGAUGGAUCACGUUCCACACUCAUCAUGGCCCUUACGGCCAGAGCCUUACACAGCCGUGCUACAUAUGGUCCGAGUACAAAGGGAUGAUGCCAAGCCGCGAGGGGGAGCUAAUCCCAUAAAACCGAUCGUAGUCCGGAUCGCAGUUUGCAACUCGACUGCGUGAAGUUGGAAUCGCUAGUAAUCGUGAAUCAGAAUGUCACGGUGAAUACGUUCCCGGGCCUUGUACACCCCGCCCCUCACACCCAACAAAGGGGCCGUACAGAAUUAUCUUGGCUCAAUAAAUUUAACAAGUGCCGAAGUUACUCCAGCGAGUGGAUUGU